RNAcentral lists this ribosomal RNA (427 nucleotides) under uncultured bacterium. RNAcentral describes it as "partial 16S ribosomal RNA". It matches the Rfam family "Bacterial small subunit ribosomal RNA", at positions 355 to 774 of the family's 1533-position model. The record is from RNAcentral.
UGGGGAAUUUUGGACAAUGGGCGCAAGCCUGAUCCAGCCAUGCCGCGUGUCUGAAGAAGGCCUUCGGGUUGUAAAGGACUUUUGUCAGGGAAGAAAAGGGCGGGGUUAAUACCCCUGUCUGAUGACGGUACCUGAAGAAUAAGCACCGGCUAACUACGUGCCAGCAGCCGCGGUAAUACGUAGGGUGCGCGCGUUAAUCGGAAUUACUGGGCGUAAAGCGGGCGCAGACGGUUACUUAAGCAGGAUGUGAAAUCCCCGGGCUCAACCUGGGAACUGCGUUCUGAACUGGGUGACUAGAGUGUGUCAGAGGGAGGUAGAAUUCCACGUGUAGCAGUGAAAUGCGUAGAGAUGUGGAGGAAUACCGAUGGCGAAGGCAGCCUCCUGGGAUAACACUGACGUUCAUGCCCGAAAGCGUGGGUAGCAAACA